This 70-nucleotide transfer RNA is filed under the name human gut metagenome. It matches the Rfam family "tRNA". Rfam says of the family: Transfer RNA (tRNA) molecules are approximately 80 nucleotides in length. Their secondary structure includes four short double-helical elements and three loops (D, anti-codon, and T loops). Further hydrogen bonds mediate the characteristic L-shaped molecular structure. tRNAs have two regions of fundamental functional importance: the anti-codon, which is responsible for specific mRNA codon recognition, and the 3' end, to which the tRNAs corresponding amino acid is attached (by aminoacyl-tRNA synthetases). tRNAs cope with the degeneracy of the genetic code in two manners: having more than one tRNA (with a specific anti-codon) for a particular amino acid; and 'wobble' base-pairing, i.e. permitting non-standard base-pairing at the 3rd anti-codon position. RNAcentral also lists the same sequence under 2 other names. The record is from RNAcentral.
AUCUUUAGCUCAGUUGGUAGAGCAACUGACUCUUAAUCAGUGGGCCAAGAGUUCGAGUCUCUUAAGAUCC